RNAcentral lists this unclassified non-coding RNA (200 nucleotides) under soil metagenome. RNAcentral's name for it is "partial contains internal transcribed spacer 2 and large subunit ribosomal RNA". The record is from RNAcentral.
UGAACGGUACUUGCAUUACCUUUUCUCACUCUGCUGAAAUGAAUAGGCCAGAGAAGUGGACCCAUGGUAAUUGACUCCAGGAGUGUUUUUCAAUGCUAAACUAGUCUUUACCCAAGUCAGGUUCUGAGCUACCGGACCCCCAUUUAGUCCGAAACAGAGUGGUUGACCUCGGAUCAGGUAGGGAUACCCGCUGAACUUAA